UUUGUCUGUGAUGUCAUCUUUCUACCUACAUUGUUUGAGUUUAUUCUAAAUGAGAAUAUUCUACAAAUCUGAGACUAUA
Polyodon spathula (Mississippi paddlefish) is the source of this 79-nucleotide small nucleolar RNA. RefSeq annotates it as small nucleolar RNA SNORD34. The transcript has a single exon. Lineage: Eukaryota; Metazoa; Chordata; Actinopteri; Acipenseriformes; Polyodontidae. The record is from RefSeq and is a predicted model, not a curated record.